CCAUACUAUGAGUCAAGUUAUAGGAUCGAGAUUACAAUUUAGAACAACUCAAUAACAAUUAAAAGCUAUAUCUUGAACUUCAAUCUUAUUCGCAACCGUUGUGCGCUUGUACUUGAAUUCUGUCAUAUAUCAGUUUUUGCUUCGUUUGUCAUUCAUCAAAACCUACAAAAGAGUACACGUUUAGUAUAUUGCAUUGAGAACGUGUUUCUAACAC
RNAcentral lists this long non-coding RNA (214 nucleotides) under Nicotiana benthamiana. RNAcentral describes it as "long non-coding RNA (NBEN_LNC031177)". The record is from RNAcentral. Lineage: Eukaryota; Viridiplantae; Streptophyta; Magnoliopsida; Solanales; Solanaceae.